GGGGGACCUUCGGGCCUCUUGCCAUCGGAUGUGCCCAGAUGGGAUUAGCUAGUAGGUGGGGUAACGGCUCACCUAGGCGACGAUCCCUAGCUGGUCUGAGAGGAUGACCAGCCACACUGGAACUGAGACACGGUCCAGACUCCUACGGGAGGCAGCAGUGGGGAAUAUUGCACAAUGGGCGCAAGCCUGAUGCAGCCAUGCCGCGUGUAUGAAGAAGGCCUUCGGGUUGUAAAGUACUUUCAGCGGGGAGGAAGGGAGUAAAGUUAAUACCUUGGCUCAUUGACGUUACCCGCAGAAGAAGCACCGGCUACCUCAUUGCCAGCAGCCGCGGUAAUACGGAGGGUGCAAGCGUUAAUCGGAAUACUGGGCGUAAAGCGCACGCAGCGGUUGC
RNAcentral lists this ribosomal RNA (391 nucleotides) under Escherichia coli. RNAcentral describes it as "bacterial SSU rRNA". It matches the Rfam family "Bacterial small subunit ribosomal RNA", at positions 194 to 582 of the family's 1533-position model. Lineage: Bacteria; Pseudomonadati; Pseudomonadota; Gammaproteobacteria; Enterobacterales; Enterobacteriaceae. The record is from RNAcentral.